AUUGAACGCUGGCGGCAGGCCUAACACAUGCAAGUCGAACGGUAAAAGGAAGCUGCUUCCUGGUUCGAUGGCGAGUGGCGGGAGGGUGAGCUAUGAAUGUGCCACUGACUGAUGGAGGAGGUCCAGAAAUGGACACGGUUGCCACUAACGCCUAACGUCGCAAGACCAAAGAGGGGGAGAUUAGGGCCUCUCACAAUAGGCUAUGCCCAGUUGGGAUUAGCUAGUAGGUGGGGUAACGGCUCACCUAGGCGACGAUCCCUACCUGGUCUGAGAGGAUGAACAGUCACACUGGAACUGAGACACGGUCCAGACUCCUACGGGAGGCAGCAGUGGGGAAUAUUGCACAAUGGGCGAAAGCCUGAUGCAGCCAUGCCGCGUGUGUGAAGAAGGCCUUCGGAUUGUAAAGUACUUUCAGUGGGGAGGAAGGGAGGUAAGUUAAUACCUUGGUUCAUUGACGUUACCCACAGAAGAAGCACCGGCUAACUUCGUG
RNAcentral lists this ribosomal RNA (490 nucleotides) under uncultured bacterium. Its description in RNAcentral is "partial 16S ribosomal RNA". It matches the Rfam family "Bacterial small subunit ribosomal RNA", at positions 30 to 507 of the family's 1533-position model. The record is from RNAcentral.